CUGCUCAGAGCUGCUCAGAGAAGAAGCUUCUCUCCAUAAUUGAUUUUGGAUUUAUAGUCAAUUAUAGAAUGAUUACAAGAGCCAAUAUGAACUACUAUAACGUUACAUUAAGAAAAUGAGAUACAAACACAGUUAGUUUACACCAGGAUGAAUGUUAGGUUCCUCUUCAUAUUGAGAAAUAAGUCAACAAAAAAAAAACAUUGACUGGUGGUUGGUUGUCACGUUCAGCAUCCCUUGUCCAUGUUUCUUUCUCUAUGUCCAGUCCUCUGCAUUGUAAUAGAUCUCGAAUGUGUCUGAUAGUUAUGUUAGCUGAUACAACCACCAAACCAACAUUAUUUAUAACUUACUCCACCUCCAUUUCAUCGUGAAAGUCAAAUCCUGAGCAUGUUUCCUCAGUAAUCACCUGCACCAUAAGAAAGGGAAGCACUCAACUUGAAUGCUCAAAAUGGCUUUGUUAUCACUGCUUUCUUUUUCAACUUCCUAUCUCAGCACAAGCACCGUUGUUGCGCUCUGCGUGUUGAUAGCAAUUCCGCAAGUGUACGGAUUGAUCGAAGUAAUACAAAAGAUUGUCGAACCACAGGGAUAGUUGUCCAUCAAUUGCUUCUAAGAGUUUUGUGUUCAGAAUGUGAAAAAGAAAGCAAUAUAAGUUUGAGGGUUUGUUGUGUUUAACACACUUGUGAUGAAGAGCAAGAAUUAUAAUUCAGAUAAAAAAGUACCCUGGACACAGCUCCACUUAGUCCAAUUAUGGUUCUCAAAUCAAGUUCUUAUAUGAAGUUUAGAAUCCUUAUCCAUGGUGAUGUAGCCUCUACCUCUACUUGUUAAUUCCUUAAUCAAGUAAAUCAUUCAAUUUCAAUUGCCAAACCUAAUUCCUUAGUGCCUAGUCAAUUCAAUUGAAGAAUGAAGUUUAUAAGUUCAGGCCAACACAAUAAGUUUCUACCCUUAUUCCUAAGUGAUAGCAAACAAAUCAAUCUAAUCCCAAGUCCCUUAAUUCUCACCAACUCCCGUUGUGCAAGAAGAAAGCAAAACACUUGUGUGCACUCAAGAGAAUAUUGAUUCAGAGAAAAGUUACAUGGAAAAGAAACUUUAUUCAUAUAAGAAAAUAAGAAGUUUAAACCAUAAUCAGAACUAAGGUUCACUUCACCCAAAGUACAAAGAGAAACUAGCCAAGCAGGGCUAGGGAAUUCAUAAUGCAAACUAAAGGAAUAAAACCUGAAAGAAGAGGGCCAAGAAGCCUCCCACAAGCUCCAAGAACCUAAACCUCUAAGUUUU
RNAcentral lists this long non-coding RNA (1269 nucleotides) under Lotus japonicus. RNAcentral describes it as "long non-coding RNA (LJAP_LNC002054)". The record is from RNAcentral. Lineage: Eukaryota; Viridiplantae; Streptophyta; Magnoliopsida; Fabales; Fabaceae.